RNAcentral lists this ribosomal RNA (496 nucleotides) under uncultured bacterium. RNAcentral's name for it is "partial 16S ribosomal RNA". It matches the Rfam family "Bacterial small subunit ribosomal RNA", at positions 29 to 507 of the family's 1533-position model. The record is from RNAcentral.
AUGAACGCUGGCGGCGUGCCUAAUACAUGCAGGUCGAGCGAACGGACGAGAAGCUUGCUUCUCUGAUGUUAGCGGCGGACGGGUGAGUAACACGUGGAUAACCUACCUAUAAGACUGGAAUAACUUCGGGAAACCGUAGCUAAUACCGGAUAAUAUUUUGAACCGCAUGGUUCAAAAGUGAAAGACGGUCUUGCUGUCACUUAUAGAUGGAUCCGCGCUGCAUUAGCUAGUUGGCAAGGUAACGGCUUACCAAGGCAACGAUGCAUAGCCGACCUGAGAGGGUGAUCGGCCACACUGGAACUGAGACACGGUCCAGACUCCUACGGGAGGCAGCAGUAGGGAAUCUUCCGCAAUGGGCGAAAGCCUGACGGAGCAACGCCGCGUGAGUGAUGAAGGUCUUCGGAUCGUAAAACUCUGUUAUUAGGGAAGAACAUAUGUGUAAGUAACUGUGCACAUCUUGACGGUACCUAAUCAGAAAGCCACGGCUAACUACGUG